AAACCAUCUGUUAGAAUACUUACUGCAACAGCAGACUCGGCGCUGCUGCAGUGUGAAGUUCAUGGCAAUCCAAAACCUAAAGUAGAGCUGCAGGACAGUGAUGGAAACAUCCUUCAUGCUAAAGUAACACAGGACUCAGAAAGAGAAGGCAGCUUCUACAUCACCCUCCAAACUACUGUGACCAAGACCGGCACCUAUCGCUGUGUAGCCACACAGGAGGAAAUCAAACAUCAGAUUUAUGCUGAGACCUCUGUGGAUAUCAGUGGGUUCUCCACUGGAUGGAUUGUUGCUGCAGUUAUUGGUGUUCUUUUUCUUGUUGCUGGUGUUACUCUAGCUGUGCUUUUAUACAGGGGU
Long non-coding RNA from Sander lucioperca (pikeperch), 354 nucleotides. RefSeq lists it as uncharacterized. NCBI's taxonomy places the organism in Eukaryota, Metazoa, Chordata, Actinopteri, Perciformes, Percidae. The transcript is spliced from 2 exons. The record is from RefSeq and is a predicted model, not a curated record.